RNAcentral lists this small nucleolar RNA (197 nucleotides) under Bipolaris sorokiniana. The record is from RNAcentral. Lineage: Eukaryota; Fungi; Ascomycota; Dothideomycetes; Pleosporales; Pleosporaceae. RNAcentral also lists the same sequence under 1 other name.
CAGUCUCUUGCCUCGCUCAAUCCGCUGUUCCAUUUGGCGGAUUUCGAGCUGGAUACAUACAUGCUCUAUCUCUAUCUUUCUUUGAAAGCUGAGACGCGUCAUGUGUGUACGAGACAAGACUAAAUGCGACGAUUUUUGAGUACGGAACCGCCUGAUUCCAUGUGUCGGACCUCCGUAAUUUAUCUGUCGGGACAUAC